GAAAAACACAAAUGAAUGAAUCCCGGAAGAGGCACUGGCGGUGACAGUGAGGACCAAACAGACGCUGCCCCUACAUUGCCUUCGGCCUAAACCACGCCUAUGCCGCCAUAUCCGUGCCGCUAUUGAAUGUAAGUUCAUGAGGACAGUUGACCUUUUCUUGCUCACAACUCUUAUCUUCACCUGAGAGAACGUGACACAACUUACAAUUGGCGUAGUAUUGGCAGGAUCCCUGUGAACCCAAAAUCUGUCACAAUGGGUGCGACCUUUGGGAGGGCCACCCCAAGAUAUGAUGGGUAGAAGUGGCACUCGCGCCGAGGGACACGUGUCUACACUCGUGUGGUCAUGGAGGUGCCACCACUGCUGCUGGCCAUGCUGACCCCAGCCUGUGGCCCGAGCCUAAGGCUACUGCUUCUGCCACUGCUGCUGCUCUUGCUGCUUGCC
This is a non-coding RNA of Manis javanica (Malayan pangolin), 441 nucleotides long. NCBI's taxonomy places the organism in Eukaryota, Metazoa, Chordata, Mammalia, Pholidota, Manidae. The record is from RefSeq and is a predicted model, not a curated record.